CCAACAGUGUGACCUUGGUGAG
RNAcentral lists this non-coding RNA (22 nucleotides) under Arabidopsis thaliana (thale cress). The record is from RNAcentral. Lineage: Eukaryota; Viridiplantae; Streptophyta; Magnoliopsida; Brassicales; Brassicaceae.